GAUGAACGCUGGCGGCGUGCCUAAUACAUGCAAGUCGAGCGAACAGACGAGGAGCUUGCUCCUCUGACGUUAGCGGCGGACGGGUGAGUAACACGUGGAUAACCUACCUAUAAGACUGGGAUAACUUCGGGAAACCGGAGCUAAUACCGGAUAAUAUAUUGAACCGCAUGGUUCAAUAGUGAAAGACGGUUUUGCUGUCACUUAUAGAUGGAUCCGCGCCGCAUUAGCUAGUUGGUAAGGUAACGGCUUACCAAGGCAACGAUGCGUAGCCGGCCUGAGAGGGUGAUCGGCCACACUGGAACUGAGACACGGACCAGACUCCUACGGGAGGCAGCAGUAGGGAAUCUUCCGCAAUGGGCGAAAGCUUGACGGAGCAACGCCGCGUGAGUGAUGAAGGUCUUCGGAUCGUAAAACUCUGUUAUUAGGGAAGAACAAAUGUGUAAGUAACUAUGCACGUCUUGACGGUACCUAAUCAGAAAGCCACGGCUAACUACGUG
RNAcentral lists this ribosomal RNA (497 nucleotides) under uncultured bacterium. RNAcentral's name for it is "partial 16S ribosomal RNA". It matches the Rfam family "Bacterial small subunit ribosomal RNA", at positions 28 to 507 of the family's 1533-position model. The record is from RNAcentral.